This 762-nucleotide ribosomal RNA is filed under the name Bacillus sp. FJAT-22146. Its description in RNAcentral is "bacterial SSU rRNA". It matches the Rfam family "Bacterial small subunit ribosomal RNA", at positions 58 to 802 of the family's 1533-position model. The record is from RNAcentral. Lineage: Bacteria; Bacillati; Bacillota; Bacilli; Caryophanales; Bacillaceae.
CAAGUCGAGCGAACUUGCGGGAGCUUGCUCCCAAAAGUUAGCGGCGGACGGGUGAGUAACACGUGGGCAACCUGCCUGUAAGACUGGGAUAACUUCGGGAAACCGGAGCUAAUACCGGAUAACCCUUUUCCUCACAUGCGGAAAAGUUGAAAGAUGGCUUCGGCUAUCACUUACAGAUGGGCCCGCGGCGCAUUAGCUAGUUGGUGAGGUAACGGCUCACCAAGGCGACGAUGCGUAGCCGACCUGAGAGGGUGAUCGGCCACACUGGGACUGAGACACGGCCCAGACUCCUACGGGAGGCAGCAGUAGGGAAUCUUCCGCAAUGGACGAAAGUCUGACGGAGCAACGCCGCGUGAGUGAUGAAGGUUUUCGGAUCGUAAAACUCUGUUGUUAGGGAAGAACAAGUACCGUUCGAAUAGGGCGGUACCUUGACGGUACCUAACCAGAAAGCCACGGCUAACUACGUGCCAGCAGCCGCGGUAAUACGUAGGUGGCAAGCGUUGUCCGGAAUUAUUGGGCGUAAAGCGCGCGCAGGCGGUCUUUUAAGUCUGAUGUGAAAGCCCCCGGCUCAACCGGGGAGGGUCAUUGGAAACUGGGAGACUUGAGUGCAGAAGAGGAGAGUGGAAUUCCACGUGUAGCGGUGAAAUGCGUAGAGAUGUGGAGGAACACCAGUGGCGAAGGCGACUCUCUGGUCUGUAACUGACGCUGAGGCGCGAAAGCGUGGGGAGCGAACAGGAUUAGAUACCCUGGUAGUCCACGCCG